CAAUAGCGUGUGUUAAAGUUGUUGCAGUUAAAAAGCUCGUAGUUGGAUUUCUGGUGGGAGCGAUCGGUCUGGCGCUUAGCGCGAGUACUUGCAUCGUCUCCGGCCAUCCUUGGGGAGAGUCUGUCUGGCAUUAGGUUGUCGGGCAGAGGAUCCUCAUCGUUUACUGUGAAAAAAUUAGAGUGUUCAAAGCAGGCUUAUGCCGUUGAAUACAUUAGCAUGGAAUAAUAAGAUAGGACUUUGGCACUAUUUUGUUGGUUUGCGCACCAAAGUAAUGAUUAAUAGGGACAGUUGGGGGUAUUCGUAUUCCGUUGUCAGAGGUGAAAUUCUUGGAUUUACGGAAGACGAACUACUGCGAAAGCAUUUACCAAGGAUGUUUUCAUUA
RNAcentral lists this ribosomal RNA (382 nucleotides) under uncultured eukaryote. Its description in RNAcentral is "partial 18S ribosomal RNA". It matches the Rfam family "Eukaryotic small subunit ribosomal RNA", at positions 592 to 975 of the family's 1831-position model. The record is from RNAcentral.